GACGAACGCUGGCGGCGUGCUUAACACAUGCAAGUCGAACGGAGCACCCUUGAAAGAGAUUUCGGUCAAUGGAGAGGAAUGCUUAGUGGCGGACGGGGGAGUAACGCGUGAGGAACCUGCCUUUCAGUGGGGGACAACAGUUGGAAACGACUGCUAAUACCGCAUAACAUAUGGAUGUCGCAUGGCAGCCAUAUCAAAGAUUUAUCGCUGAGAGAUGGCCUCGCGUCUGAUUAGCUAGUUGGUGGGGUAACGGCCCACCAAGGCGACGAUCAGUAGCCGGACUGAGAGGUUGGCCGGCCACAUUGGGACUGAGAUACGGCCCAG
RNAcentral lists this ribosomal RNA (324 nucleotides) under uncultured bacterium. RNAcentral's name for it is "bacterial SSU rRNA". It matches the Rfam family "Bacterial small subunit ribosomal RNA", at positions 28 to 334 of the family's 1533-position model. The record is from RNAcentral.